This is a long non-coding RNA of Dinoponera quadriceps, 572 nucleotides long. RefSeq lists it as uncharacterized. NCBI's taxonomy places the organism in Eukaryota, Metazoa, Arthropoda, Insecta, Hymenoptera, Formicidae. The transcript has 3 exons. The record is from RefSeq and is a predicted model, not a curated record.
GUGACAUCACAUUGACGCUUCGUGUCAAAGAAAUUAGAUUACAUCCAACUUCUAGCGUCACGCACCGAUGAGGACACUGUUUCAGGCUAAUUGCUUCAUUAAAUGUUUCGACUCAUUUGCCGAUAUUCCAUCCGAAGUGACCGGAGCAAAGUCUCCUCUCUCUCUGUAUGUGUGUUCGCCACUUGAACGUGCCCAAAUGGCUCUCCCAGCACGAAACGGUCUCGACAGCGGCUGGAAUACUGAUGCCUAGGACGGAGAAGAAUAUUGCGCCGACUAGAGAGAUGAACGGGUCCAAUUUGGGUACCGCCGAUGCUACGCCCACUGCAAAAGGACACAGCAGUACGUUAUUCUCCGACCCCGAACGGGCAGGGCUGAAUUAAUUUUUAUUUCUAAUUAAGUUUUAAAAGUUAAUGGUCCAUAAAAUUAAUUCAGUUGAGUUAAAAUUUACCGAAAUUGAAACUGACUUAAUUGAAAGUUAAGUUGAAUUAAAUUACCUCGUCGAAGUUAAAAAUUAAUUACGCAAAGCCACGAUCAAUGAUUUUAAUAUUUGAUGGAUUUUAUUUCACCUCACG